CAGCAGCCGCGGUAAUGCGGAGGGAGCUAGCGUUGUUCGGAAUUACUGGGCGUAAAGCGCGCGUAGGCGGUUACUCAAGUCAGAGGUGAAAGCCCGGGGCUCAACCCCGGAACUGCCUUUGAAACUAGGUAACUAGAAUCUUGGAGAGGUCAGUGGGAUUCCGAGUGUAGAGGUGAAAUUCGUAGAUAUUCGGAAGAACACCAGUGGCGAAGGCGACUGACUGGACAAGUAUUGACGCUGAGGUGCGAAAGCGCGGGGAGCAAACAGGAUUAGAGACCCCUGUAGUCCCUGUCUCUUAUAC
Molecule: ribosomal RNA, 301 nt
Filed under: uncultured bacterium
Lineage: Bacteria
Description: partial 16S ribosomal RNA
Rfam family: Bacterial small subunit ribosomal RNA
Source: RNAcentral